GCCCUGGUGGCACAGUGGUUAAGCACUUAGCUGCUAACCAAAAGGUUGGUGGUUCAAACCCACCCACGGUU
This is a transfer RNA of Loxodonta africana (African savanna elephant), 71 nucleotides long. It matches the Rfam family "tRNA". From Rfam's summary of the family: Transfer RNA (tRNA) molecules are approximately 80 nucleotides in length. Their secondary structure includes four short double-helical elements and three loops (D, anti-codon, and T loops). The record is from Rfam. Lineage: Eukaryota; Metazoa; Chordata; Mammalia; Proboscidea; Elephantidae.